GGGAAAUGUCAUCUCCAGUUAGGUGGCCCCUGUCCAGCUAUAACUCCAUAACUAACAGCAGGAGGGAACAGAUUUUGGUGGAUCACGAGCAAUUUCUGCUGUGCAUGUCCUGGGCCAUAUGACCAUCACAAGAUGGGGUGUUGAAGCCGCUGAGUCAAGAAGUUUUAGGAACCCAGUGCCUCCCGUAAUCUGAAAGAGCAGCCUGAGGUUGGACACUUGAGGCAUGAAAGGUUGUCAGUGAAGAGGAAGGUGACGAUUUCACCUAAACAGGACAUUAUGAAACAUCUCAGGUCGCACCACCUCCCCUGCCUACAUUUGUGACCAAGUCUGAGAGAAGCCAUGUCAGCUGGGACUCUGCAAGCCGGGCGGCCUGUGGCAUUCCUGCUCUGCCCUUGAAUGGAAAACUCACCUGGCAUUUGAGUGUGUUGAUUGAGAUUCUGCCGGCCUCUGGCUCGUGCUCAGGAAAACCCCCUUCUCAUUACAGCCCAGCUUGGUUUCACGGAGGGGGCUAGAGAAAGUUCCAUCAACUGGAGCCAUGCGGCUACUGCAGAGCGAAAACCGGCAGGGCUUCUGUUUGACCCCUGGCUCUUGAAAACCACGCCA
RNAcentral lists this long non-coding RNA (603 nucleotides) under Equus caballus (horse). Its description in RNAcentral is "lncRNA (ENSECAG00000057359.1)". The record is from RNAcentral. Lineage: Eukaryota; Metazoa; Chordata; Mammalia; Perissodactyla; Equidae.